RNAcentral lists this ribosomal RNA (598 nucleotides) under uncultured bacterium. RNAcentral's name for it is "bacterial SSU rRNA". It matches the Rfam family "Bacterial small subunit ribosomal RNA", at positions 60 to 705 of the family's 1533-position model. The record is from RNAcentral.
CGUCGAACGCAGUAGCAAUACUGAGUGGCAAACGGGUGAGUAUAAUGUGGGAAUCUGCCUUUUGGUUUGGAAUAACACGGGGAAACUUGUGCUAAUACCGAAUAAGCCUUUACAGGGAAAGUUUUAAUGCCAAAAGAUGAGCCCGCACUUGAUUAGCUAGUUGGUAAGGUAAAAGCUUACCAAGGCAAUGAUCAAUAGCUGUUCUUAGAGGAAGACCAGCCACAUUGGGACUGAGACACGGCCCAGACUCCUACGGGAGGCAGCAGUGGGGAAUCUUGCACAAUGGGGGAAACCCUGAUGCAGCGAUGCCGCGUGAGUGAAGAAGGCCUUUGGGUUGUAAAACUCUUUCGUCGGGGAAGAAAAUGACUGUACCCGAAUAAGAAGGUCCGGCUAACUUCGUGCCAGCAGCCGCGGUAAUACGAAGGGACCUAGCGUAGUUCGGAAUUACUGGGCUUAAAGAGCUCGUAGGUGGUUAAAAAAGUUGAUGGUGAAAUCCCAAGGCUCAACCUUGGAACUGCCAUCAAAACUUUUUAGCUAGAGUGUGAUAGAGGUAAGUGGAAUUUCUAGUGUAGCGGUGAAAUUCGUCGAUUUAGAACGA